Molecule: long non-coding RNA, 821 nt
Organism: Actinia tenebrosa (Australian red waratah sea anemone)
Lineage: Eukaryota; Metazoa; Cnidaria; Anthozoa; Actiniaria; Actiniidae
Source: RefSeq, a predicted model, not a curated record
UCGAAGUUCACGAAUUAACGAUAUGCAAAUCUGAUCAAAGUUUAGACAUGAAGGAACAAGCAAGCUCAAAAUGGUAAAUUUUAGGGUUACGUUUUCCAACUACUCUAUUUUAGUCCUCGGGAUCCAUGUUUUGGAUUGAGUGGACAAAAACUCAUGCGAACACUUUUUCCAAAGAAACGGUUUGAAGGAACUUUCUCAUUACCCUCGUCUCUUUCCUGUACUUGGUUCAACAGCAGCAGUUGUAUGAUGUCGUACACCAUUCUAAACAACUCGUGCAAGGCUCUCAGUAGGUUCAUCAGUGGUACAAUAACAGCUUCGUUUGGAUCACUCAUCGUGUUUACUGCUGUGGUGUAGUGGCAUUAAUACUGUACGUACGAUAAAGAUGGAAAAGCCCAAAGCCAAUUAGCGAGAGGUUUUUCAGCCGUGUCGUGAACGUGUUCAUUCUUCCAUGAAGAUUCCCAAAAGCUUUUGAUCGUGACUUUGAGAUAUUCUUAAUGGAGCAUGAAUACGUUCGCGACACGGUUGAAAAACGCUCGCUAACAUUGGCUAUCUUUCUAGGACACUGUAGCCAAGUUCACUUAAGAGGCGAUGCCGGCCAAGAAAAAUGAAGCAAAAUCAAAAAUUCGUGGCCACGCAGUCUAACAAUCAAAUACCUUAAUUUUUGGCUUGUAGAAAGGUUUUAGUGAGUUUAGCAAAGUGUUGGGGUUUAUUUGACAAUUUAUAAAGAAAUCCGUGAAAAAAUCGAAAAAAACGAUUUCCGCUUGUCGCUCGUCUAAACCGUAGCUGCGACGUCAGUACCAGCGGAUAACGCUAGCUAGGGU